Mastomys coucha (southern multimammate mouse) is the source of this 353-nucleotide long non-coding RNA. RefSeq lists it as uncharacterized. Lineage: Eukaryota; Metazoa; Chordata; Mammalia; Rodentia; Muridae. The transcript has a single exon. The record is from RefSeq and is a predicted model, not a curated record.
UGCUUUUGCUGGUGUCCUGCACCUGAAAGUUGUGAUGCUAAAGGCUCAUCUUAUAUUUUCUACCCCAUUGACCAUUUCUCUAUUUGACUGUGCCACUGGGAGACCGUAUUUACAAACUGAGUAUUUUGAUGUAAUGACUGUGAUUUCACCGUCAGAAUUUGGGUGACUCUAGGACAUGGGCAAGAUCAGGUUGUAGACUUCUAGGACUGAAGGCCAUGUGUGGAUCAUGGUAAACUCACCAAAGCAAGUAAUGCCCUUAAGAGGAUCCUGCAGAAGCUUGUCAUUGCUUUCUUUUGUUGACACCCAGUCUUUGCUGUAUUACAUUAAAGUUGCAUAAAUCCAAAAAAAAAAAA